This 461-nucleotide non-coding RNA is filed under the name Pan troglodytes (chimpanzee). Lineage: Eukaryota; Metazoa; Chordata; Mammalia; Primates; Hominidae. The record is from RNAcentral.
GACUUGCCCAAGGACACUGCCGGGGCUUGAGUGUUGGAGGACUUGAGCCUUAGAGUGUUGAACACUUAGAAGUGUUGAAGAGCUAGUUUGAGAACUAGCUCUGCCAUGAGCUGUGACACAAUGGCCAUUAUCUUGUUGCGCCUUGAGUAUAUUAUCCCUAAAAUGGGAUAAUUGCUGCCCUGCCUGUAUUAUGUGAUUAUUGAAGAACGGAGUGAAGAAACAGCUAUUCUAGCAAAUAUUUACUGAGUGCUUACUUUCCGAAUGUUCUAAUCCUUCACGCAACCCAACCGCUUCUGACAGCAGUCCUGCCGCUUAGAUCAGUCAUGAACGGAGGGGAUGCCACCAUUACGAUGUGUUUCUUUAUCUGAAUGAAGAUGCAAGACUGUUGUAGAAAAAGAGGCCAAAUGACUGCACUUACCUGCUAAGGACAAAGUGGGAGCCUCUAUCAUGAAGGGCACCAG